Bombyx mori (domestic silkworm) is the source of this 1943-nucleotide long non-coding RNA. RefSeq lists it as uncharacterized. The transcript is spliced from 2 exons. The record is from RefSeq and is a predicted model, not a curated record. NCBI's taxonomy places the organism in Eukaryota, Metazoa, Arthropoda, Insecta, Lepidoptera, Bombycidae.
UCUCAAUCUUCAUUUUUUGUAGCUUUUGUUGAGUCCAUUUGGGCGAUUGUUAAAUAAAUUACAAUAUUAAGACAUUUUCGUUUGACGGGUUCAAUUUAGAAUUUUACUGUCCCUACGGCCUAUGUUGUAACUUAAUAUCCGAACAAAAUGUGAUGCUUACCAACGUAGAUCUGGCUAUCGUGAAUAGUGCAUAUGUACCAAGCCCUCGACAUUUGCAAGCCACGUGCGUUGCUUCAGGAACUUUCACUUCACAAGCUUUGGUGAUCCAUGUUCUUGGGUCAGACGGAGUGCGAAGACCACAGGCGAGUUUUGAUGCUGAGAAUCAAGGAUUAAUGUCGAGUGGAAUCGAGUUAAAUGAAGAAAUUUCACCUUUUAGUGCAGAACUUAACAAGAGAUCUCUACUACUCUUUCAUGAUUCACUGAUAGCCCUUGCGGUCUUUUUAAAUUGGCUCAAACACCCAUUUGGAAUACAAUUUGAAAAAUCUCAAGCUUUCCUCUUAUCGAAAUUGAUUCGGGACUUGCACAAGAUGCGCUUACAGCUCUGCAAAAUCUGAUUCACGACAAACGGAGUCAUCGAGACUUGAGUUGACAUGUCAUUCUUACAAAAAUUUCCAUUCGUACCGAUUUUAGGUUCGGGGUUUAGGUUAAAGAAAUGGAAUAAAUUGAUUUAAAAUUCAUCUUCCUCACCAACAGCGCUAUAGUUCUUGACAUGAGUGAAUAAUAGGUUCACCGUAUGUUGUAAGCUAUUGUCGACUCCGGGACCAGUGGCGUACAAUUGGAUCUGUUGGGAUGACACCAGAUACUCCAUUUCACGACCGCUCCUAGAAGACGACUGGCUAGAAAUAACGUGAUGAAUGUCGUUGAAAUAAAAAUAAACAAAAUAAUGCACAACUUAAAAAUAAACAUGAAUGCUAAAAGGUACAAGAAAAGAAAAGUAGAACAGAAAUUGAAGAAAAUAUUCUAGAAAUAUUAGAUGGAAAAGAUGAACGAUAAAUGAUUGAUUUUAGUGGUACUGAAGCAUAGCAAUAGAUUUGUCUUUAUCUUAUGUCGCUUUAAUAGUUAUUUGUUUUAGCGAAAAAUUCUAGGCCGGAGCACCUCUUUCUUUAUCUAUUGAAUUUGAGAGUCAUUUAUAAUUUUUUUGUUUCUUUAGUUGACACAUUUGGCAAUAGAAGAAAAAUCGGGAAAACACAGAAAUUGAGAAACUCACUUAUACUCUACAGAUCGCCUUAAAGAAGAUAAGAUGUUGCUGGUGGAACUGAUUCAGUCAAACGUUUGGCCGGGGACCGAAUCAAGUGACCAUCCAGCCAACCGGGAGCCCCGAGAAGAUAAUGAGGUAAAUUAAAUGCGAGAUUCAGGGUUGAUCGCAAUGGAGGAGUACUAUUGAGGACUUUUACAACUUCUCGGAGCCACAGGAAUCAAUAUGAACGUACCUCUUCAUCCAAAAAGGCAUCAGGAUGCUUGAGCAAAGUGUCGUAUAUCUUGAGAAGAUGCUCAGCACUUUGCAUUCUGUCUGCCGGUCGUCCAGCGGAAGAUAACAAAUAGUGCAGCAUUUCUUUUGUCUGGUGGAGGGGAAGCGUCCCUUCGCCUGGAUGUGAUGGUAGGGAGCGAAGGACCGCUCCAUACUGACGGGCUACGUUCGAUACGUUAUUCCAGGAAUACCCAAAGUAGAUGUGAGUGAACUGAAAUUUUAGGUGUUUUUUUAAUUUUUUUAUUGCUUUUGUAGGCAGACGAGCAUACGGCCCGCCUGAUGGUGAGUGGUUACCGUUGCCCAUGGACUUCCGCAAUUCCAGGGGCAGAGCCAAGUCGUUGUUUACCGCUGAAUAUCCAAAGUUAAGUGUUUGUGUAUGAUUUAUAAUCUAAAGUUCUCGUCCCCCGGGAACGAUGAACAAAUAUGGAGACUUAUAACUCGAAACAUUUUCAUUAAAAAUGUCUCUGUUGCUCAA